UACGGGGGGAGCAAGCGUUGUUCGGAUUUACUGGGCGUAAAGGGCGCGUAGGCGGUCGUGACAAGUCACUUGUGAAAUCUCCGGGCUUAACUCGGAACGGUCAAGUGAUACUGUCGGACUAGAGUACAGAAGGGGCAACUGGAAUUCUCGGUGUAGCGGUGAAAUGCGUAGAUAUCCGGAGGAACACCGGUGGCGAAGGCGGCUUCCUGGACCGAUACUGACGCUGAGGCGCGAAAGCUAGGGGAGCAAACGGG
This 254-nucleotide ribosomal RNA is filed under the name uncultured bacterium. RNAcentral describes it as "partial 16S ribosomal RNA". It matches the Rfam family "Bacterial small subunit ribosomal RNA", at positions 524 to 776 of the family's 1533-position model. The record is from RNAcentral.